RNAcentral lists this non-coding RNA (44 nucleotides) under Schistosoma curassoni. The record is from RNAcentral. Lineage: Eukaryota; Metazoa; Platyhelminthes; Trematoda; Strigeidida; Schistosomatidae.
GCACUGCUGAAGAGUCGCACAUAAGACAAAACGGCGUCUGGUGC